Molecule: long non-coding RNA, 768 nt
Organism: Macrobrachium nipponense
Lineage: Eukaryota; Metazoa; Arthropoda; Malacostraca; Decapoda; Palaemonidae
Exons: 4
Source: RefSeq, a predicted model, not a curated record
GGCGAAGGGACUCACACGAACUCGUGGUGGCAGCAUUGUGUGGCUGGGUAACGUGUUAUUCUCCCUUUGUUUUGUGUUUGUUCUGAGUUAAACGUGACCACAACGAACAAAAGAGAAGAAGCUCAAGCAAACACAAACAAAGGAGGAAUAAAAGAAGCAAGGGAGCCGUUUCAAAGGCAUAUCCCACCCACUACUACUACUACUACACAUGACGCAACCUGUUUGUCUUCAAAUUUCUGCAUGGACACAAGCGCCUGAGGACUCCUUUGGUAAAGUAUUUUGCCUUCAGAUUCGAGAGGUGACGUUUGAGUGACAAUGGAGUUUGCAAAAUCUAAAUGUGGUAUUAGGCAACUAGAGGUUUCUACUAGACUGAUCUAGUAUAGUAGACUACUUGAAAGGUUGAAAUAUCAGCCUAAGGAGCUUUCUGUUGUAUGCACGCGCCACCAAUAGCUUUGUGUGAGUGAUUGCGAGCCAUUGUUGCUUGUACCAAACUGCUUCUGGUGACAGAAGUCACAGAACCAGUUUUUUUUUAUCCUAACAGACCAGCAUAUGACAGGAGUAAGUUGUACUUGAGUAAUGAAUAAAAAUACUUUAAAAGUUCUGUAUUUUAACGAGAUAAAGCUGCUGUCAAUUUGGUUUCCUAACAACGAAGGAAAGUUGUAUGUGUAUGAAUCACAUACGUAAGUUUCUCAUACCAGAUUGGUUAUUUUUUUUCUUCAUUGGGUUUGUAUCGGAAAUCCUGUAAAUGUGAAUUGACAUUUAACUUAA